Molecule: ribosomal RNA, 588 nt
Filed under: Triticum aestivum (bread wheat)
Lineage: Eukaryota; Viridiplantae; Streptophyta; Magnoliopsida; Poales; Poaceae
Description: partial small subunit ribosomal RNA
Source: RNAcentral
AUGGCGGCCGGGCGAGCGUGUGCUCUUAGCGCGGUGCUGGUGGUGGUGGUGGCGCCGCUCCUCCUGGCCGGCGCGGCGGACGCCGACUGCUUCGAUUACUGCUUCAAGGACUGCAUCGCCAAGGACAAGAACAUGAUCGACUACUGCAACUACGCCUGCGACAAGACCUGCUACGCGGGCGCGCCCCAGCGGCCCUUGGCGGCGGCUGCCGCCUCCGGCGACAUGGGAUGCCAGCUCUCCUGCGCCAGGACUUCCUGCCACCGUCUGGAUCCAGACCGCGAGGCCACUGGGGCCUGCUUCGGGCAGUGCUACGACGGCUGCAAGACCAAGACUCUGCCGAGGCCUCUCCGCGCCGGCGCCGGCAUGCCCACCACGUCAGGCCCGGUGGUCGCCGACCUUCCUUCAUCCGAGCCGGACCCAGAUGACGCCUUUCCUUCAUCCGAGCCGGACCCAGAUGACGCCCUUCCUUCAUCCGAGCCGGACCCAGAUGAUGCGGUCCGUGCGUCGUCAGAGGCGCCGGAACAUCAGGCGAUGGGGCCACGUACACCGUUAUCGGAGAUCCACGCUGCUCCUCCGGCGUCUGCGUGA